GAGGCCCCGCCUGCUUCCGGGGCGGGCCGCGCGGGCUGACCCCGCCCCCCGACUUCCGCCUCCCGGCGCCUUGGAGUUGGGAGUGUAGGGCAGAACUUGUACCAAUCUAUAUUCUAUAGCAAUGGAGGGGAGAUGCUGUUCACCUAUAAUUGAUGUUGGCUGCAAUGGUCACUAAUACCUCAGAGCAAUGUUUUUCUCAUAUUCUCUCUGCCGUCUGCCCGUAGAUGCCAGACACUGAAGAUGCCAGGAACCGAAGAUAUAGGCUCUCUCUUUUCCACAAAAUGGCACUUGCCUUGGACCACUUAUGGGCACUACGUUAUUGGGUGUUUUCAUAGGGUCCCUCUGGGAAGGUGCCUUGCUGAGCCUGAGGAGAUGUAGAAAGAAGCAGGACUGGGGAGCUUGGAUCUCAAAGACGGGCGCCUGUAUAUCUGUUGAAUAAAACCAACAAAUGACUUGAGUUGGUCUUUGCCAGGUGAAAAGAGGAAAACAGUAUCAAGUGGAUGAAACAACAUAUGUAAGAAAUGCAGCAAAUGAGAAAUCCCAAGUGGUUGGAGGAGACAGGAGAGAGAGCUAAGGCCUUCAGGAGGCUAGAAACCCCAUCAGGCAUCAAGAGUUUAAACCUUAAAACAAAAAUUUUUUUUUAAUGUGGGCCAUUUUUCAACUCAUUAUUGAGUUUGUUACAAUAUUGCUUCUGUUUUACUGUUUUAUGUUUUUGGUUUCUUGGCCACAAGUCAGGUGGGAUAUCAGCUUCCCAACAAGGAUUGAACCUCCACACCCUGCAUUAGAAGGCAAAGUCUUAACUACUGGACUACCAGAGAAGUCCCAACAAUCAUUAUUACAAUUUCAAUUUAGGGUAAAAUGUGAAGCAACUUCUUUUUCUAAAGCUGAAACAUUGAAGGGCAAGUUUGUCCUUAUUAUUCCACCUCCCACCUGCUUCUGGUUGACUUUGGGUCAGGGGAAACUUGGGCUGGUACAAAUGCUUGUUCACCAGGUAAGGUGGGGCCCAGGCUGUCUCCCCUCCCCUCACUUUAAAUUCACAGUAUUUUUGUUUAAAAUUAUUAUUGUGGUAUUAUGUACAAAGCAUAAAAUUUAUCAUUUUACCCUUGGGUGGACGAUUCAGCAACAUUAAUUACAUUUACAUUGUUGUGCAACUGUCAAUAGCAUCCAUCUCCAGAACUUUCUCAAUCCUAACUGCAAUUUUGUACCCACUGAACACUAAUUCCUCAGUUCUUCCUCCUCCAGCCCCUGGCAACCACCAUUCUGUUUCCUUUUUCUAUGAAUUUGACUAUUUCAGGUUCCUCAUGUAAGUGGAAUCAUAUUUGUCCUUUUGUAACUGGUUUAUUUCAUGUCCUCAAGGUUCAUGCAUGUUGUAGCUCGUGUCCGAAUUUCAUUCCCUUUUAAGGCUGAAUAAUCUUCCACUGUCUGUUUAUACCAUGUUUAUCCAUUCAUCCAUUGAUGGACAUACAGGUUAUUUCCACCUCUCAGCUAUUGUGGAUAAUGCUGCCACAGAUGUGGGUGUGCAAGUAUCUGUUCGUGACGCUGCUUUCAGUUUUUACUGGAAUUUCUGGAUCACAGGGUAAUUCUAUCUUAAAUUCUUUGAGGGACUCUCUUCCUAGACCCGAUUUUAAAGUCCAUUUCCCCCUUGGUUUGAAGGUAGGCAGACUGAUUUAGAUAGAGUACCACUUGGAAAGAGCUACCAGUUUAGGAUGAAAAGGAACCAGGCAAGCUUCAGCCCUGCGGGCUUCCUCCUUGUUUCCGUAAGAGCCAUCAUCUCUGUGAACUCAUUGCUCUGCAAACUAGUUCACUCAUUUCUCUACGAGUGGUCCGGGAAGCACUGGCGUCAAAAUUAACUUAGGACAGACUUCCCUGUGGUUCAGUGGACAGGAGUCUGCCUGCCAGUGCUGGGGUCCCUGGUUCAAUCCCUGGUCUGAGAAGAUUCCACAUGCUGUGGAGCAACUAAACCUGUGCGCCACAA
Long non-coding RNA from Cervus elaphus (red deer), 1975 nucleotides. RefSeq lists it as uncharacterized. The transcript has 3 exons. NCBI's taxonomy places the organism in Eukaryota, Metazoa, Chordata, Mammalia, Artiodactyla, Cervidae. The record is from RefSeq and is a predicted model, not a curated record.